AUAACAAUACAGGACUCUUUAGAGGCCCUGUAAUUGUAAUGAGUCCACGUGAAAUCCUUUAACCCUGAUCAAUUGGAGGGCAAGUCUGGUGCAGAGCGACUGACCCAUGUGUGCUGCAGCUGAAACUCCACUAUCGCCUGCUGCUGCUCGCACCGUCUCUAU
This 162-nucleotide ribosomal RNA is filed under the name Pelobates cultripes (western spadefoot toad). RNAcentral describes it as "SSU_rRNA_eukarya". Lineage: Eukaryota; Metazoa; Chordata; Amphibia; Anura; Pelobatidae. The record is from RNAcentral.